GACAACCUGGUUGAUCCUGCCAGUAGUCAUAUGCUUGUCUCAAAGAUUAAGCCAUGCAUGUCUCAGUACAAGCCAAAAUAAGGUGAAACCGCGAAAGGCUCAUUAAAUCAGUUAUGGUUCCUUAGAUCGUACCAACAUUUACUUGGAUAACUGUGGUAAUUCUAGAGCUAAUACAUGCAAACAGAGCUUCGACCGGAGACGGAAGAGGCGCUUUUAUUAGAUCAAAACCAAUCGGCGGCGGGUUCGUUCGCGGGCUCGUCGUCGUUUUCACUGACGAAUCUGAAUAACUUUCUGCUGAUCGCACGGUCUCGCACCGGCGACGCAUCUUUCAAAUGUCUGCCUUAUCAACUGUCGAUGGUAGGUUCUGUGCCUACCAUGGUUGUAACGGGUAACGGGGAAUCAGGGUUCGAUUCCGGAGAGGGAGCCUGAGAAACGGCUACCACAUCCAAGGAAGGCAGCAGGCGCGCAAAUUACCCACUCCCGGCACGGGGAGGUAGUGACGAAAAAUAACGAUACGGGACUCAUCCGAGGCCCCGUAAUCGGAAUGAGAACAAUUUAAAUCCUUUAACGAGGAUCAAUUGGAGGGCAAGUCUGGUGCCAGCAGCCGCGGUAAUUCCAGCUCCAAUAGCGUAUAUUAAAGUUGUUGCGGUUAAAAAGCUCGUAGUCGAAUCUGUGUCCCGCGCCGCCGGUUCGUCGCUCGCGGCGUUUAACUGGCGUGUCCGCGGGACGUCCUGCCGGUGGGCUUAGCCUUUUCAUUAAGGCGGCCCAAUCUUAAUCCCGCCGCGGUGCUCUUCACCGAGUGUCGAGGCGGGCCGGCACGUUUACUUUGAACAAAUUAGAGUGCUUAAAGCAGGCUAAAACUUCGCCUGAAUACUUCGUGCAUGGAAUAAUGGAAUAGGACCUCGGUUCUAUUUUGUUGGUUUUCGGAACCCCGAGGUAAUGAUUAAUAGGAACGGAUGGGGGCAUUCGUAUUGCGACGUUAGAGGUGAAAUUCUUGGAUCGUCGCAAGACGGACAGAAGCGAAAGCAUUUGCCAAAAACGCUUUCAUCGAUCAAGAACGAAAGUUAGAGGUUCGAAGGCGAUCAGAUACCGCCCUAGUUCUAACCAUAAACUAUGCCAGCUAGCGAUCCGCCGAAGUUACUUCUAUGACUCGGCGGGCAGCUUCCGGGAAACCAAAGCUUUCGGGUUCCGGGGGAAGUAUGGUUGCAAAGCUGAAACUUAAAGGAAUUGACGGAAGGGCACCACCAGGAGUGGAGCCUGCGGCUUAAUUUGACUCAACACGGGAAACCUCACCAGGCCCGGACACCGGAAGGAUUGACAGAUUGAGAGCUCUUUCUUGAUUCGGUGGGUGGUGGUGCAUGGCCGUUCUUAGUUGGUGGAGCGAUUUGUCUGGUUAAUUCCGAUAACGAACGAGACUCA
Molecule: ribosomal RNA, 1419 nt
Filed under: Microtrichalus sp. A00377
Lineage: Eukaryota; Metazoa; Arthropoda; Insecta; Coleoptera; Lycidae
Description: SSU rRNA
Rfam family: Eukaryotic small subunit ribosomal RNA
Source: RNAcentral